UACGAAGGGGGCUAGCGUUGCUCGGAUUGACUGGGCGUAAAGGGCGCGUAGGCGGUUUGCAUAGUCAGACGUGAAAUUCCUGGGCUUAACCUGGGGGCUGCGUUUGGUACAUGCAGGCUUGAGUUCGGAAGAGGGUCGUGGAAUUCCCAGUGUAGAGGUGAAAUUCGCAGAUAUUGGGAAGAACACCGGUGGCGAAGGCGGCGACCUGGUCCGAUACUGACGCUGAGGCGCGAAAGCGUGGGGAGCAAACAGG
This 253-nucleotide ribosomal RNA is filed under the name uncultured bacterium. RNAcentral describes it as "partial 16S ribosomal RNA". It matches the Rfam family "Bacterial small subunit ribosomal RNA", at positions 524 to 776 of the family's 1533-position model. The record is from RNAcentral.